UGGGGAAUAUUGGACAAUGGGCGAAAGCCUGAUCCAGCCAUGCCGCGUGUGUGAAGAAGGCCUUAUGGUUGUAAAGCACUUUAAGCGAGGAGGAGGGUACUGGUAUUAAUACUACCAGGUACUGGACGUUACUCGCAGAAUAAGCACCGGCUAACUCUGUGCCAGCAGCCGCGGUAAUACAGAGGGUGCGAGCGUUAAUCGGAUUUACUGGGCGUAAAGCGUGCGUAGGCGGCUAAUUGAGUCGGAUGUGAAAUCCCCGAGCUUAACUUGGGAAUUGCAUUCGAUACUGGUUAGCUAGAGUGUGGGAGAGGAUGGUAGAAUUCCAGGUGUAGCGGUGAAAUGCGUAGAGAUCUGGAGGAAUACCGAUGGCGAAGGCAGCCAUCUGGCCUAACACUGACGCUGAGGUGCGAAAGCAUGGGGAGCAAACAGG
Molecule: ribosomal RNA, 430 nt
Filed under: Pseudomonadota bacterium
Lineage: Bacteria; Pseudomonadati; Pseudomonadota
Description: Proteobacteria bacterium partial 16S ribosomal RNA
Rfam family: Bacterial small subunit ribosomal RNA
Source: RNAcentral